UAUUCCUGGCCGUAAACGAUGUCAACUAGGUGUAGGGGGUAACCAACCCUCUGUACUGCAGCUAACGCGUUAAGUUGACCGCCUGGGGACUACGGCCGCAAGGCUAAAACUCAAAGGAAUUGACGGGUCCCCGCACAAGCAGCGGAGCGUGUGGUUUAAUUCGAGGCUACGCGAAGAACCUUACCCGGGUUUGACAUACUAGUGGUACCGAUUCGAAAGAUGAAGGACCCUUCGGGGAGCUAGUACAGGUGCUGCAUGGCUGUCGUCAGCUCGUGCCGUGAGGUGUCAGGUUAAGUCCUGUAACGAGCGCAACCCUCAUCGUUAGUUAUACGUGUCUAACGAGACUGCCCGUGAUAAGCGGGAGGAAGGUGGGGAUGACGUCAAGUCAGCAUGGCCUUUAUAUCCGGGGCUACACACACGCUGCAAUGGCCGGUACAAUGGGUUGCCAAAGCGCGAGCUGGAGCCAAUCCCCAAAGCCGGUCUCAGUUCGGAUUGUAGGCUGCAACUCGCCUGCA
Molecule: ribosomal RNA, 515 nt
Filed under: uncultured bacterium
Lineage: Bacteria
Description: bacterial SSU rRNA
Rfam family: Bacterial small subunit ribosomal RNA
Source: RNAcentral